This 540-nucleotide ribosomal RNA is filed under the name uncultured bacterium. RNAcentral's name for it is "partial 16S ribosomal RNA". It matches the Rfam family "Bacterial small subunit ribosomal RNA", at positions 355 to 887 of the family's 1533-position model. The record is from RNAcentral.
UGGGGAAUUUUGGACAAUGGGCGAAAGCCUGAUCCAGCAAUGCCGCGUGUGUGAAGAAGGCCUUCGGGUUGUAAAGCACUUUUGUCCGGAAAGAAAUCCUUGGCUCUAAUACAGUCGGGGGAUGACGGUACCGGAAGAAUAAGCGCCGGCUAACUACGUGCCAGCAGCCGCGGUAAUACGUAGGGUGCAAGCGUUAAUCGGAAUUACUGGGCGUAAAGCGUGCGCAGGCGGUUUGCUAAGACCGAUGUGAAAUCCCCGGGCUCAACCUGGGAACUGCAUUGGUGACUGGCAGGCUAGAGUAUGGGCAGAGGGGGGUAGAAUUCCACGUGUAGCAGUGAAAUGCGUAGAGAUGUGGAGGAAUACCGAUGGCGAAGGCAGCCCCCUGGGCCAAUACUGACGCUCAUGCACGAAAGCGUGGGGAGCAAACAGGAUUAGAUACCCUGGUAGUCCACGCCCUAAACGAUGUCAACUAGUUGUUGGGGAUUCAUUUCCUUAGUAACGUAGCUAACGCGUGAAGUUGACCGCCUGGGGAGUACGGUC